This 253-nucleotide ribosomal RNA is filed under the name uncultured bacterium. RNAcentral describes it as "partial 16S ribosomal RNA". It matches the Rfam family "Bacterial small subunit ribosomal RNA", at positions 524 to 776 of the family's 1533-position model. The record is from RNAcentral.
GACAGAGGUGGCGAGCGUUGUUCGGAAUUACUGGGCUUAAAGGGCGCGUAGGCGGUGGUAUAAGUCUGAGGUGGAAUGCCACGGCUCAACCGUGGAACUGCCUUGGAAACUGUAUCACUUGAGUUAGACAGGGGAAGGCGGAAUUCCUGGUGUAGCGGUGAAAUGCGUAGAUAUCAGGAGGAAGGCCAGUGGUGAAGUCGGCCUUCUGGGUCUUAACUGACGCUGAGGCGCGAAAGCGUGGGGAGCAAACAGG